RNAcentral lists this non-coding RNA (96 nucleotides) under uncultured Mediterraneibacter sp. Its description in RNAcentral is "S10-Clostridia ribosomal protein leader". It matches the Rfam family "S10-Clostridia ribosomal protein leader". The record is from RNAcentral. Lineage: Bacteria; Bacillati; Bacillota; Clostridia; Lachnospirales; Lachnospiraceae.
UGAUAGCGAUGAAGCGUGAGGUUGCCGCCUGAGCAAAGAAAUAAGCAACGGCGGGUUUUCCGUGGAGCGAAUGUCAAGUUAAGAAACUGGCGACAA